RNAcentral lists this ribosomal RNA (254 nucleotides) under uncultured bacterium. Its description in RNAcentral is "partial 16S ribosomal RNA". It matches the Rfam family "Bacterial small subunit ribosomal RNA", at positions 524 to 776 of the family's 1533-position model. The record is from RNAcentral.
UACGAAGGGGGCUAGCGUUGCUCGGAAUCACUGGGCGUAAAGCGCACGUAGGCGGCUUGGUAUGUCGGGUGUGAAAUCCCCGGGCUCAACCUGGGAACUGCAUCCGAAACUGCUUUGCUAGAGUAUGGGAGAGGGAAGUGGAAUUUCCGGUGUAGCGGUGAAAUGCGCAGAUAUUAGGAGGAACACCGGUGGCGAAGGCGCCACUCGUGGGCCGAAACUGACGCUGAGGAGCGAAAGCGUGGGGAGCAAACAGG